RNAcentral lists this ribosomal RNA (465 nucleotides) under uncultured bacterium. RNAcentral describes it as "partial 16S ribosomal RNA". It matches the Rfam family "Bacterial small subunit ribosomal RNA", at positions 338 to 795 of the family's 1533-position model. The record is from RNAcentral.
CCUACGGGUGGCAGCAGUGGGGAAUAUUGCGCAAUGGGCGAAAGCCUGACGCAGCGACGCCGCGUGAGGGAUGAAGGUCUUCGGAUCGUAAACCUCUGUCAGCAGGGAAGAACGGUCACUGUGCUAAUCAGCAGUGAAUUGACGGUACCUGCAAAGGAAGCACCGGCUAACUCCGUGCCAGCAGCCGCGGUAAUACGGAGGGUGCGAGCGUUAAUCGGAAUUAUUGGGCGUAAAGCGCUCGUAGGCGGUAUGUCAAGUCAAGGGUGAAAUCCCCGCGCUCAACGUGGGAACUGCCUUUGAAACUGGGAGACUGGAGUGUGUGAGAGGAUAGUGGAAUGCCAGGUGUAGGAGUGAAAUCCAUAGAUAUCUGGAGGAACAUCAGUGGCGAAGGCGACUGUCUGGCACAUAACCGACGCUGAGGAGCGAAAGCGUGGGUAGCAAACAGGAUUAGAUACCCGGGUAGUC